RNAcentral lists this ribosomal RNA (230 nucleotides) under uncultured bacterium. RNAcentral describes it as "partial 16S ribosomal RNA". It matches the Rfam family "Bacterial small subunit ribosomal RNA", at positions 562 to 791 of the family's 1533-position model. The record is from RNAcentral.
AAAGCGUGCGCAGGCGGUUUUGUAAGACAGAUGUGAAAUCCCCGGGCUCAACCUGGGAACUGCAUUUGUGACUGCAUUGCUGGAGUGCGGCAGAGGGGGAUGGAAUUCCGCGUGUAGCAGUGAAAUGCGUAGAUAUGCGGAGGAACACCGAUGGCGAAGGCAAUCCCCUGGGCCUGCACUGACGCUCAUGCACGAAAGCGUGGGGAGCAAACAGGAUUAGAUACCCCAGU